CAGAUCUGUGCCCCGAAUCGAGGGCUGCGCGCCUGGGAACAAACGCCGGACAGAGACAACUGCUCCCCAAGCGCGGCUGGCCUAAAGGAAGAGCCUGGAGACAAAAGACUGGAUCACUUUGCCCUGAUACUGUUUUCCUGGCUCUGUGAAUCCUGACUCCUAGAGAGACCAGCAGACUCAGUCAAAGAACCUUGGGGUGGUAUAAAGACCUGAGUACCUGGAGGUGGUUGGGAUCCAAGUCAGCCUAAUCUAGAAACUACCUCACAGACAUGCCAAGAAGUUUGUUUCCAUGAGUAUUUUAAAGCCCAUCAAGUUGACAACCCGAGAUCUCAUUAAGUAUUCAAGCCAGAUAUGAACUGAUAAAGAUGGUACCAGGGCUCUCUGGCUCUUACCUGUCCUGGAUCCUCAGGGAUCACAUGCCUAUGGUGGAGCCUGAACAUUACAUGCUGAGUCUCCACUUGUCAAUCCAGGAGCGGAAGGAGACCACGGUGAUGGUAUGGGGGUCAGAGGACAUAACAGCGUUCUA
This is a long non-coding RNA of Psammomys obesus (fat sand rat), 526 nucleotides long. RefSeq lists it as uncharacterized. Lineage: Eukaryota; Metazoa; Chordata; Mammalia; Rodentia; Muridae. The record is from RefSeq and is a predicted model, not a curated record. The transcript is spliced from 3 exons.